RNAcentral lists this long non-coding RNA (609 nucleotides) under Homo sapiens (human). RNAcentral's name for it is "HSALNT0358890". Lineage: Eukaryota; Metazoa; Chordata; Mammalia; Primates; Hominidae. The record is from RNAcentral.
CCUUACAGCUUUUCUUAGAUGCCUCAGGCUGGACAGAAGGGAUUCCUGGCCUGCUGGGUACCUGUCCUUUUAGAAUCUUACCAUCAUCCUGAGGAUUCCAUUUGCUUCUGUUGCAUUGGAUCCUCUAUUUCUUGGAUUCCUUAUUGUUCUCCUUGAUUUACUCCAUCGAUUUGGCAGGACAUAUCCUGUAGUGGUUUCCCGAGAAAGAGCGUGUUAUAGAUUGUCUCCUUUGGUUCUUAAGCCUUGAGACUCAGACUGAAUCACACCACCGGCUUUUCUGGGUCUGCAGCUUGCAGAUAGCAGACUGUGGGACUUCUCAGUCUAUAAUCAUGAAGAUGUUAAGCAAUUUAUUUGAUGUCCUUCAAAAACUAUCUUUAUAAUGAAACAAGAGAAACCAUGAUUAACUAUCAAAUUCAACUUGCUGCACAGCAUAACAAAACUACAGUGGAAUAAAGAAUACGGAGAAUUUUGAGUCAUGUCUUGUACAAUUGAAAUUUAAGAGCAAGGUUGCUUCUGUACCCCUAUACAGACUUGGCGCUGUGCCUCCACACUAGCUGCCAGAAAGAUGACAAAUGACAAUCAAAGAAAUCACCAGGAGACAAUGGCCUC